GACGAACGCUGGCGGCGUGCUUAACACUUGCAAUUCGAACGGAAAGGCCCUGCUUUUGUGGGGUGCUCGUGUGGCGAACGGGUGAGUAACACGUGAGUAACCUGCCCUUUACUUUGGGAUAACUUCAGGAAACUGGGGCUAAUUCCGGAUAGGAGCUCCUGCUGCAUGGUGGGGGUUGGAAAGUUUCGGCGGUUGGGGAUGGACUCGCGGCUUAUCAGCUUGUUGUUGGGGUAGUGGCUUACCAAGGCUUUGACGGGUAGCCGGCAUGCGAGGGUGACCGGCGACAUUGGGACUGAGAUACGGACCAGACUCCUACGGGAGGCAGCAGUGGGGAAUAUUGCACAAUGGGCGGAAGCCUGAGGCAGAAACGCCGCGUGCGGGAUGACGGCCUUCGGGUUGUAAACCGCUUUCGCCUGUGACGAAGCGUGAGUGACGGUAAUGAGUAAAGAAGCACCGGCUAACUACGUG
This 468-nucleotide ribosomal RNA is filed under the name uncultured bacterium. RNAcentral describes it as "partial 16S ribosomal RNA". It matches the Rfam family "Bacterial small subunit ribosomal RNA", at positions 28 to 507 of the family's 1533-position model. The record is from RNAcentral.